UAGUGGCAGACGGGUGAGUAAUAUAUAGGAAUCUACCUAGUAGUACGGAAUAAUUGUUGGAAACGGCAACUAAUACCGUAUACGCCCUACGGGGGAAAAAUUUAUUGCUAUUAGAUGAGCCUAUAUUAGAUUAGCUAGUUGGUGGGGUAAUAGCCUACCAAGGCAAUGAUCUAUAGCUGAUCUGAGAGGAUGAUCAGCCACACUGGAACUGAGAUACGGUCCAGACUCCUACGGGAGGCAGCAGUGGGGAAUAUUGGACAAUGGGCGAAAGCCUGAUCCAGCCAUGCCGCAUGAGUGAAGAAGGCCUUUGGGUUGUAAAGCUCUUUUAGUGAGGAAGAUAAUGACGGUACUCACAGAAGAAGUCCUGGCUAACUCCGUGCCAGCAGCCGCGGUAAUACGGAGAGGGCUAGCGUUAUUCGGAAUUAUUGGGCGUAAAGGGCGCGUAGGCUGGUUAGUAAGUUAAAAGUGAAAUCCCGAGGCUUAACCUUGGAACUGCUUUUAAAACUGCUAACCUAGAGAUUGAAAGAGGAUAGAGGAAUUCCUAGUGUAGAGGUGAAAUUCGUAAAUAUUAGGAGGAACACCAGUGGCGAAGGCGUCUAUCUGGUUCAAAUCUGACGCUGAGGCGCGAAGGCGUGGGGAGCAAACAGGAUUAGAUACCCUGGUAGUCCACGCUGUAAACGAUGAAUGUUAAAUAUGGGAAGUUUACUUUCUGUAUUACAGCUAACGCGUUAAACAUUCCGCCUGGGGACUACGGUCGCAAGAUUAAAACUCAAAGGAAUUGACGGGGACCCGCACAAGCGGUGGAGCAUGUGGUUUAAUUCGAUGCAACGCGAAAAACCUUACCACUCCUUG
Molecule: ribosomal RNA, 852 nt
Filed under: Wolbachia endosymbiont of Ancylopus pictus
Lineage: Bacteria; Pseudomonadati; Pseudomonadota; Alphaproteobacteria; Rickettsiales; Anaplasmataceae
Also listed under: 1 other name
Description: bacterial SSU rRNA
Rfam family: Bacterial small subunit ribosomal RNA
Source: RNAcentral